This 725-nucleotide ribosomal RNA is filed under the name uncultured bacterium. RNAcentral's name for it is "bacterial SSU rRNA". It matches the Rfam family "Bacterial small subunit ribosomal RNA", at positions 94 to 823 of the family's 1533-position model. The record is from RNAcentral.
AGCGGCGAACGGGUGAGUAACACGUAGGUGAUCUGCCCAUCAGACGGGGACAACGAUUGGAAACGAUCGCUAAUACCGGAUAGGACGAAAGUUUAAAGGUGCUUCUGGCACCGCUGAUGGACGAGCCUGCGGCGCAUUAGCUAGUUGGUAGGGUAAAGGCCUACCAAGGCGACGAUGCGUAGCCGACCUGAGAGGGUGAACGGCCACACUGGGACUGAGACACGGCCCAGACUCCUACGGGAGGCAGCAGUAGGGAAUCUUCGGCAAUGGGCGAAAGCCUGACCGAGCAACGCCGCGUGAAUGAUGAAGGCCUUCGGGUUGUAAAAUUCUGUUAUAAGGGAAGAACGACUUUAGUAGGAAAUGGCUAGAGUGUGACGGUACCUUAUGAGAAAGCCACGGCUAACUACGUGCCAGCAGCCGCGGUAAUACGUAGGUGGCGAGCGUUAUUCGGAAUUAUUGGGCGUAAAGAGCGCGCAGGUGGUUGAUUAAGUCUGAUGUGAAAGCCCACGGCUUAACCGUGGAGGGUCAUUGGAAACUGGUCGACUUGAGUGCAGAAGAGGGAAGUGGAAUUCCAUGUGUAGCGGUGAAAUGCGUAGAGAUAUGGAGGAACACCAGUGGCGAAGGCGGCUUCCUGGUCUGUAACUGACACUGAGGCGCGAAAGCGUGGGGAGCAACAGGAUUAGAUACCCUGGUAGUCCACGCCGUAAACGAUGAGUGCUAAGUGU